Molecule: ribosomal RNA, 818 nt
Filed under: uncultured Actinomycetes bacterium
Lineage: Bacteria; Bacillati; Actinomycetota; Actinomycetes
Description: bacterial SSU rRNA
Rfam family: Bacterial small subunit ribosomal RNA
Source: RNAcentral
ACUCCUACGGGAGGCAGCAGUGGGGAAUAUUGCACAAUGGGCGCAAGCCUGAUGCAGCAACGCCGCGUGAGGGACGACGGCCUUCGGGUUGUAAACCUCUUUUAGUAGGGAAGAAGCGAAAGUGACGGUACCUGCAGAAAAAGCACCGGCUAACUACGUGCCAGCAGCCGCGGUAAUACGUAGGGUGCAAGCGUUAUCCGGAAUUAUUGGGCGUAAAGAGCUCGUAGGCGGUUUGUCGCGUCUGCUGUGAAAACUGGAGGCUCAACCUCCAGCCUGCAGUGGGUACGGGCAGACUAGAGUGCGGUAGGGGAGAUUGGAAUUCCUGGUGUAGCGGUGGAAUGCGCAGAUAUCAGGAGGAACACCGAUGGCGAAGGCAGAUCUCUGGGCCGUAACUGACGCUGAGGAGCGAAAGCAUGGGGAGCGAACAGGAUUAGAUACCCUGGUAGUCCAUGCCGUAAACGUUGGGAACUAGAUGUAGGGACCAUUCCACGGUUUCUGUGUCGCAGCUAACGCAUUAAGUUCCCCGCCUGGGGAGUACGGCCGCAAGGCUAAAACUCAAAGGAAUUGACGGGGGCCCGCACAAGCGGCGGAGCAUGCGGAUUAAUUCGAUGCAACGCGAAGAACCUUACCAAGGCUUGACAUAUACCGGAAAAGUGCAAAAAUGUCUCCCCGCAAGGUCGGUAUACAGGUGGUGCAUGGUUGUCGUCAGCUCGUGUCGUGAGAUGUUGGGUUAAGUCCCGCAACGAGCGCAACCCUCGUUCUAUGUUGCCAGCACGUAAUGGUGGGAACUCAUAGGAGACUGCCGGGGUCAACUCGGA